UUGGCGAGGUAACGGCUCACCAAGGCAACGACGGGUAGCUGGUCUGAGAGGAUGGCCAGCCACAUUGGGACUGAGAUACGGCCCAGACUCCUACGGGAGGCAGCAGUGGGGAAUCUUGCGCAAUGGCCUAACGGCUGACGCAGCGACGCCGCGUGUGGGAUGAAGCUCUUCGGAGUGUAAACCACUGUUGCCCGGGACGAACAGCUCGAUUUCUCGAGCCUGACGGUACCGGGUGAGGAAGCACCGGCUAACUCCGUGCCAGCAGCCGCGGUAAUACGGGGGGUGCGAGCGUUGUCCGGAAUCACUGGGCGUAAAGGGCGCGUAGGUGGUUUGAUAAGGGUGUGGUGAAAGUCCGGGGCUCAACCCCGGAUCUGCCGUGCCGACUGUCAGACUCGAGGGCUGUAGAGGCAGACGGAAUUCCGGGUGUAGCGGUGGAAUGCGUAGAGAUCCGGAGGAAGACCGGUGGCGAAGGCGGUCUGCUGGGCAGUUUCUGACACUGAUGCGCGACAGCGUGGGGAGCAAACAGGAUUAGAUACCCUGGUAGU
Molecule: ribosomal RNA, 545 nt
Filed under: uncultured Gemmatimonas sp.
Lineage: Bacteria; Pseudomonadati; Gemmatimonadota; Gemmatimonadia; Gemmatimonadales; Gemmatimonadaceae
Description: bacterial SSU rRNA
Rfam family: Bacterial small subunit ribosomal RNA
Source: RNAcentral